AUUGAACGCUGGCGGCAUGCUUUACACAUGCAAGUCGAACGGCAGCGCGGGCUUCGGCCUGGCGGCGAGUGGCGAACGGGUGAGUAAUGCAUCGGAACGUGCCCAGUAGUGGGGGAUAGCCCGGCGAAAGCCGGAUUAAUACCGCAAACGACCCGAGGGUGAAAGCGGGGGACCGAAAGGCCUCGCGCUAUUUGAGCGGCCGAUGUCGGAUUAGCUAGUUGGUGGGGUAAAGGCUUACCAAGGCGACGAUCCGUAGCUGGUCUGAGAGGACGACCAGCCACACUGGGACUGAGACACGGCCCAGACUCCUACGGGAGGCAGCAGUAGGGAAUUUUGGACAAUGGGGGCAACCCUGAUCCAGCCAUGCCGCGUGCGGGAAGAAGGCCUUCGGGUUGUAAACCGCUUUUGUUCGGGAAGAAAUCCUCUGGGCUAAUACCCCGGGGGGAUGACGGUACCGGAAGAAUAAGCACCGGCUAACUACGUG
RNAcentral lists this ribosomal RNA (484 nucleotides) under uncultured bacterium. RNAcentral's name for it is "partial 16S ribosomal RNA". It matches the Rfam family "Bacterial small subunit ribosomal RNA", at positions 29 to 507 of the family's 1533-position model. The record is from RNAcentral.